Molecule: long non-coding RNA, 378 nt
Filed under: Cricetulus griseus (Chinese hamster)
Lineage: Eukaryota; Metazoa; Chordata; Mammalia; Rodentia; Cricetidae
Description: lncRNA (ENSCGRG00015029443.1)
Source: RNAcentral
AGUGGAGAGCUUGGAAAUCCGGGAAACCACGUCAUGCUGAGUGAGGGGCUGUUGUGAUGGGGAGAAGCAGACGGUGAGGUGUUGGAGCCAGUGUGGUGGGUCCGCCCCGGAUCUGAGUGGAAACCUGCAGCCAGAUUCCCUGUCCUCUUUGGAGCCUAUCCUGGCACUCGCUCUGGAGACCAGGCUGGCCUGGAACCUACAGAGAUCCGCCUGCCUCUGCCUCCCGAGUGCUUGGAUUAAAGGAAAAGUGGGCUUUGCUGGAUCCUUCCCAGAAGACUCUCCAUAAAGAUGUGAUAUUGGAGACUACAGGAUCCUUACUGCUAUAGAUUUCCUCCAGAUGUCGUUUGUUUUCCAUGCUGGCUUGGAUGUCAGUAAUUA